This 580-nucleotide long non-coding RNA is filed under the name Hordeum vulgare. RNAcentral describes it as "long non-coding RNA (HVUL_LNC009284)". Lineage: Eukaryota; Viridiplantae; Streptophyta; Magnoliopsida; Poales; Poaceae. The record is from RNAcentral.
UGCCCUUUGCUUCUCCCAAGUCUUAGUUGUAUACGUACUAACUAAUUUGUGGUAGGUAGUGGAUGGUUCUAGCACUUCUAAAUUUGUGCACCUCACAUUGUUAUCGACAGUUACCCCUUUAAAUAAUUACAAGUACAUCCUGUUGUGCUCCUUUGAAUAAUCAUCAAAUGAUCAUUAUGUACUGAGUGCUCCUUUCAUAAGUAAGAUUUGUGUUCUCAUUUAAGUAUUCACAAGUUUGAAAUGGAUGUUUUUACACUAUUGUUGAACGUGCUGAUUUUUUUUGUAUUUAAUGCUAUAUGAUAUUAUUUUGUUUCUUUACUUUGUAUUUGAGGCUUGCUUCUCAUAUGUGAUCCUUCAUGCUCUCAGAAGUUUGGAAGAGGAAGAUAAUGAAAGACAUAUCUAGAAGAGCUAGAUGAUCUAGAGAUGUACCUUUUCUUUGAUUGGUGUGACUAUUGGUAUCAUUGGUUUGUUUUAUUUAGUGUUGAAUGAAUCAAACUUGUAUGUAAUAUCAUAUUUGCCCGUGUUGUGAUUUUGAAUGUUGCUACAUGUAAUGCAUUUAUUGUUAUAAUUGCAAAAAAAU